This 1414-nucleotide long non-coding RNA is filed under the name Homo sapiens (human). Its description in RNAcentral is "HSALNT0285581". The record is from RNAcentral. Lineage: Eukaryota; Metazoa; Chordata; Mammalia; Primates; Hominidae.
GCAUGUUCAUGCCCACAGCCUGGUACCAAUCUCCCCAUGGUCUUUAAAUCUAUCUUUCAACACUCUCAGGAGGAACAUAGAGGAAAUGUGGUAUCUUAAAGAGCUGUCAUUCUCUUCCAAGCUGAAACUCAAGAGGCUUAGAAGUAUACCUGCAUCUACAGUAUACCUGCAUCUACAAGCCUUCUAUGGAGAGUUGUUCAGUCACUGACCAUGGGUCAUGUGCAAGGAGGUGGGUAUUCCUGUUAUGGCAUCUGUGUCCUCUCCUGGCCAGCCCAAGUGUGGGAUCUUUAUUGUUUGAAGACAAGUAGAUGGCAUGUGAGAGCGACAGAUCACCAGACUGGGAAGAGGUUAUGCAGGAUGUACCAGUUGUGAGAACUAGGCACCCAGUAAUCAGCUACAAUGGAUACUUCUUGGCUGUUUCUUUAAUAACAGAUGGCACAGGGACAGGAUCUUGAGGGAGGGGAGGAAGUUUGCUGGUAAUUCUGGUACAGUACUGCCAUCAAGAGGAACAUGUAUGGCAAUCACAAUCACCCUUCCCUGUGGUUGCUUGGGGAGGAGUGGCUUGGUAGUACUGUCAGGAUUCAGGCAAGACUAGGAGCUCUGCCCAUAUAAGCUAUCCAGAGGCAUGCGGGAAGCAUGGCUCAUGACCUGUUCAGGUUCUGGAAACUCCAGGGACAGGUGUCAAAAAGAGCUGGACAUCCAGGACACCUGGCGGGUCCCAUACAGAAAGCUGUGGCUCAAGAGGCUGGUGGCAGCCAUGUCUGGGCAAGACUAGCAAAGGCCUCCACCAGGGAGCCCCAUCUCAAGGCCAUGGGCAUUUUGCCUGGUUCCCUUUCCCCUGGGAACAAUGGGUGGGAAGGCCUAGGUGGGUCCCAGGCCCUGAGAGACUCCCUUGGCCAUAGUGCACCCUAGUGAAAGAUCACUCCCAGCACUGUAAUUCUUUGGCUAUUGGUGCCUGAGAUGGCCAGUGCUGGGAUGGUCCACCAUCUUAAAGAAGAAGAUGUGCUGUCUGGGGCCCUGUGGGGCCUAAACCCAGACUUUACUAGAUGAGAUUGAGGCAACACCAGGCCUGGCCACCAUGAGAUACUAUGCACCCCUGAGGACCUCAUUUGUUGUGUCUAUGUCUCAAAGGAUCAGAUGGUUGUCUUGGAACCUGUGCUCGUUUCUGUUUUGGAACCUUCCAAGGCUCCCUCCUGUUCUUUGGGGAGUUCCCAGGUCCUUGCCAUGUUUAGGUUUAAACUGGGAGGGAAGAGAGUCUUCCUUGGCCUUCUGAAGUCCAGGAAGCCAAGAGCAUGCAGAAGGAAGAACCAAUUGGGCUUCUUGUGGAGAGAGCCUGCUACAUGCCAGAAAGGACUGCUGGGGUACACUCAGAAAACGCUGUAAAUGGUGCUAUGACCUGGCACAUUAACCCAGA